Molecule: long non-coding RNA, 449 nt
Organism: Polyodon spathula (Mississippi paddlefish)
Lineage: Eukaryota; Metazoa; Chordata; Actinopteri; Acipenseriformes; Polyodontidae
Exons: 2
Source: RefSeq, a predicted model, not a curated record
ACUGAGCCCUCUGCUCGCGUUGGUCAAGGCCGCUGUGAUUUUAAAAAUACAAACCCCUCGACUAAGAUAAAUACCCUGGAAUUAGACCUGCCGAUAUUACAUAGCCAGCUAUCUGGAGUAAAGAAACCUCUUAUUGAGGGAGACACAAGCGCUGAGAUUUGCCUGCUGAUGGAAGAAGUUUGUUUCCUGAGAUUAUACAGAGAGAAUGUUGCAAACCCCACCUUUCUUCAUACAGGCAUUGAUAUUGAUAUGGCAGAGGAAUGCUGGGGAUUGGCCAGGCUUCACUCCUGCCAGUCUCUCUCACAGGCAGCCUGUCUGGAGGAUUCAGCGUCCGGGAUCGAGCCCUAUCUCAGAGCAGGGACCCAGGCAACUGCAACAGGCUGGACUAGGAAUGCUUCAAUCAUCCGUCAGACACAAGAAGCCAGCUCUUAACAGCCACUGCAAAACAG